Molecule: ribosomal RNA, 468 nt
Filed under: uncultured bacterium
Lineage: Bacteria
Description: partial 16S ribosomal RNA
Rfam family: Bacterial small subunit ribosomal RNA
Source: RNAcentral
GACGAACGCUGGCGGCGUGCUUAACACAUGCAAGUCGAACGGAAAGGCCCUGCUUUUGUGGGGUGCUCGAGUGGCGAACGGGUGAGUAACACGUGAGUAACCUGCCCUUGACUUUGGGAUAACUUCAGGAAACUGGGGCUAAUACCGGAUAGGAGCUCCUGCUGCAUGGUGGGGGUUGGAAAGUUUCGGCGGUUGGGGAUGGACUCGCGGCUUAUCAGCUUGUUUGUGAGGUAGUGGCUUACCAAGGCUUUGACGGGUAGCCGGCCUGAGAGGGUGACCGGCCACAUUACGACUGAGAGACGGCCCAGACUCCUACGGGAGGCAGCAGUGGAGAAUAUUACAGAAUGGGCGGACGUCUGAUGCAGCAGCGCCGCGUGCGGGAUGCCGGCCUUCGGGUUGUAAACCACUUUCGCCUGAGACGAAGCGUGAGUGACGGUAAUGGGUAAAGAAGCACCGGCUAACUACGUG